This is a long non-coding RNA of Oxyura jamaicensis (ruddy duck), 146 nucleotides long. RefSeq lists it as uncharacterized. The record is from RefSeq and is a predicted model, not a curated record. The transcript has 3 exons. Lineage: Eukaryota; Metazoa; Chordata; Aves; Anseriformes; Anatidae.
GAGCUUACAUACACGUGGCUUUUAGGCUGCAGCCAAAGUGUUCCUCUAGAUCUGGAAGUCUGGAGAUGGUUGCAGUCUCCAAGCUCAGAUACAACCACCUAUUAGUCUGGCGCAACUGAUUUUUGUAAGUAUUAACAAAUUAGUUU